Molecule: long non-coding RNA, 247 nt
Filed under: Mytilus galloprovincialis (Mediterranean mussel)
Lineage: Eukaryota; Metazoa; Mollusca; Bivalvia; Mytilida; Mytilidae
Source: RNAcentral
GCCCGAUUUAUGGUCACUAUAACACUAAGAAAUUGGUAUAUAAGGAAGCAAGUCGUUAAAACAUUAAUAGAGUAUUUCUUGAUUUUUCUAGGUGAGUCUCUUGGUUUAGGAAAUAAUUAAGAUUAAAAAUUAUUUUACUUUGAUUGAUUGAUUGAUUGUUGGUUGCUUAACAUCCAGUGGCAAAUAUUUCAUGCAUAUUCAGGACGAGAACAAGUUCACAAUAAAUACAAUAGGUAGGUUGUUGUAA